AAGUCGAGCGAUGAAAGCUGUUCAGAUCCUUCGGGUGACGAACUUCUGGAUUAGCGGCGAACGGGUGAGUAACGCGUGAGGAACCUGCCUCUCACAACGGGAUAGCCUCGGGAAACCGGGAUUAAUACCGUAUGACACUAUCAGAUGGCAUCAUCAGGUAGUUAAAGUGCUAGCGGUGAGAGAUGGCCUCGCGUCUGAUUAGUUAGUUGGUGGGGUAACGGCCUACCAAGACGACGAUCAGUAACCGGCCUGAGAGGGUGAACGGUCACAUUGGAACUGAGACACGGUCCAAACUCCUACGGGAGGCAGCAGUGGGGAAUCUUGCACAAUGGGGGAAACCCUGAUGCAGCGACGCCGCGUGAGCGAUGAAGGUUUUCGAAUCGUAAAGCUCUGUCCUAUGGGAAGAUAAUGACGGUACCAUAGGAGGAAGCCCCGGCUAACUACGUGCCAGCAGCCGCGGUAAUACGUAGGGGGCGAGCGUUGUCCGGAAUUACUGGGCGUAAAGGGUUCGCAGGCGGCAUGACAAGUCCGAUGUAAAAGGCGAAAGCUCAACUUUCGUAAGCAUCGGAAACUGUCAAGCUUGAGUGAAGGAGAGGCAAGUGGAAUUCCUAGUGUAGCGGUGGAAUGCGUAGAUAUUAGGAG
Molecule: ribosomal RNA, 642 nt
Filed under: uncultured Clostridium sp.
Lineage: Bacteria; Bacillati; Bacillota; Clostridia; Eubacteriales; Clostridiaceae
Description: bacterial SSU rRNA
Rfam family: Bacterial small subunit ribosomal RNA
Source: RNAcentral